GGUUCCGUAGUGUAGUGGUCAUCACGUUUACUUCACACGCGAAAGGUCCCCGGUUCGAUCCCGGGCGGAACCA
RNAcentral lists this transfer RNA (73 nucleotides) under Caerostris extrusa. Its description in RNAcentral is "tRNA-Val". It matches the Rfam family "tRNA". Rfam says of the family: Transfer RNA (tRNA) molecules are approximately 80 nucleotides in length. Their secondary structure includes four short double-helical elements and three loops (D, anti-codon, and T loops). Further hydrogen bonds mediate the characteristic L-shaped molecular structure. tRNAs have two regions of fundamental functional importance: the anti-codon, which is responsible for specific mRNA codon recognition, and the 3' end, to which the tRNAs corresponding amino acid is attached (by aminoacyl-tRNA synthetases). tRNAs cope with the degeneracy of the genetic code in two manners: having more than one tRNA (with a specific anti-codon) for a particular amino acid; and 'wobble' base-pairing, i.e. permitting non-standard base-pairing at the 3rd anti-codon position. The record is from RNAcentral. Lineage: Eukaryota; Metazoa; Arthropoda; Arachnida; Araneae; Araneidae.